Non-coding RNA from Ciona intestinalis (vase tunicate), 830 nucleotides. The record is from RefSeq and is a predicted model, not a curated record. Lineage: Eukaryota; Metazoa; Chordata; Ascidiacea; Phlebobranchia; Cionidae.
CACUACUUGCAUUUUGUGUCCUUUAUUGUUAUUUAACUUGGUGCUAAUUAUUUUUAUAAUUUAUAAGCAUAUUUGUUCCCUUUAAAAAGCACCAUUGUAUAAUUAUAACUGCAUACAAUGGAUCGUCAUAGGGAACUUACAUUAUACAAGUACAUUGUGGGUGAGGUGUGGGCAUGUGCCCAUUAUCUCAAGAUGUACUGGGACAUUGCUUUAAUCAGAAUAUUAACCUUUAGUUCAAACCCAUGUACUAAUGGUACAUCGCUCAAAAUGUUGUGUCUGCAUCAAGUUUAGGUGUUUGGCAAUUAAAAUAUUAAUUACCAAUUGUAUAUAAAGCUUAAACCACUAAAAUGUUUUAAAAUUGUUAACCAUUCAACUACUAUUAUCAAGUCAUUUAACUUGUAUGAUUGUUAGCCUAUAUAAUUACUUUUUGGACAACAAUCCCCUAUACUUACACAAAAUAAGAAUCUAAUAGCAAAAUUCUUACAUUACAGAACCAGCUAAGAGCCAACUCCUGCAAUAGUUAGGGGAUGCUGUAUAUUGGGCACAAUAUAUAAAUGCCGUAUUGGUGCAGUGACAUUGCUCAAUGGUUGGGCACCUGCAUCCUAACCAAAGGAGACCGGGUUCAAUGCCCUACUGUGGUACCAUUGUUGGCCUAUCUCCAACAGUUAUAGCUCCAACCCAGUGAUCUAUUAAUGGGUCAUAGCACCCUAGGUGUUGGGUGAUGGCUGGCUCUGCCCUAAAUCCCAGGUCCCAUGGUGUGCACAUUUUUGCUUAUAUGACGUUAUCUGUGUUUCACUUCGUAUUUUCAUAAUAAACUGUGUACCCACGUA